Molecule: ribosomal RNA, 381 nt
Filed under: uncultured bacterium
Lineage: Bacteria
Description: bacterial SSU rRNA
Rfam family: Bacterial small subunit ribosomal RNA
Source: RNAcentral
GACGAACGCUGGCGGCGUGCUUAACACAUGCAAGUCAAGGGGGCCCGACGCAAUGGGCAACCGGCGAACGGGUGCGUAACACGUGAGCAACCUACCGAACUGUGGGGGAUAGCCGGCCUAACGGCCGAGUAAUACCGCAUACGCUCUCAGUGAGGCAUUUCAUUGAGAGGAAACCUACGGGACAGAUCGAGGGGCUCGCGGCCUAUCAGCUAGUUGGCGAGGUAACGGCNCACCAAGGCAACGACGGGUAGCUGGUCUGAGAGGAUGGCCAGCCACAUUGGGACUGAGAUACGGCCCAGACUCCUACGGGAGGCAGCAGUGGGAAUCUUGCGCAAUGGCCUAACGGCUGACGCAGCGACGCCGCGUGAGGGAUGACGGCCU